UUCUUUCCCUUUCCCAGAGACGGCCCUGAGGGGAAGCCCUCCCUGCUCCCUCAUGGCUGCCCUCACCUCACAGCCACCACCAGCCCAGGCCCCCGGGCAGCAGCUGCCAAAUUAACUCUGAGGGCAGCCAGUCUCUCCUUUUAGCCUCGCCUGCAGAACACAGCACCGUGGGGUCACUCAAAGCCCGUGUUGUUCCAAUGCUCUAAUAACCCAUUGUUCCCCCGCGGUCGCCUCAGCGAGAUAAAACGAAAGGCCGCGUUUUCCGAGGCUGCAAAGGAAAUGACAAGAGAAGAAAAACACAGCCCAGUGCAUAUCAGCAAUUAAUUCCAUCCACAACUGCCCAGCUGUUUGUGCAUGGAGGAACUGGGCUGUUUCCCCUCUGAGCUUUGGCCACUGAAAGCUGAUACGGCACUUUCGGAGAUGUGGGCUGCUGGUAACGCGUCAGGAAUGCGCGCGGGAUCACACGGAGCUGGAGGGGAAGAAAUGAAAUCCAGACUGAGUAUCUGCGCUAUGAGGAUAAAGUUAUCUGGGGGAGAGGGAGGCCGAGGGGGGACGAGGAGCUGCCAGCCAAGCCAGGCUCAGCCUGCAGGACACAGUGGCAGAGACAAGGUGGGAUGAGCUCAGAAACCUGCACGUCUGUGCCAGCUCUGCCAAGAUGUUUUUAUGCUGGCUGGUGUCAAACAGGUAGAUUUGGGGGCACUUCACAAAAGCUGUUGCUGUCACUUGGGAUCAUGCUUACCCAGCAAAGCUGCAAUAGAGACUUGGCUCCAUCCAUUCUAGAGUAAGACUUAUUGUUGAGAAAUUACUAUGUAUUGUUAAGUCAUCUCAGCAAUGCUUGUGGCCCUGAGGCCCCAGAACUGAAGGCAGAAUUCAGUCCUUGAGAGUCUCUCCUGUGAAUGAAAUCCCCUCAUGCUACCUUGGGAUUUCAGGAAAGGCACAGAGUACAUAAAAGGGGGAUGCUAUUCGUACCAUUGACAAACCUCACCCUGUUAGAGCUCUGUAAAUUUCAUCCUACCACAACUCACCAGUUUACAUGAACAGCUCAUUUUUUCCUCUAAUACAUUUAAGAACUCAAAACAACAUGUAUUUUUUUCCUCACCAGUUAAUCCAAGCCAGUCCCCAUUUAAAAAUUCCAAAUUGAUUCCAUCUUGCUGGGUAAAGCCACACACACCAAAACACUUCUAAUAUAUAUUAUUGGCAUUUUUUUUCUCCAACACCACCAGUAAAAAAAUAGCUCCUUUGAUUUUUAGUAGCAGCAAGUCACCUUUUCAUUGGAUGGAGCAAUCAAUCCUCUCAAAACUGCACAGGUAUUCAAAAAAGUGACACUAAUAAGAAAGUAUUUUCACUUGACUAUUUUCAAGACCAGUGCCUAUGGUAAGAAGUAACUAUCACAGGGCUAUUCCCUUCAAAAAAAGCAAUGAAGUACCAACUUGUGUAUUUUGCUGAAUAAACCAAGUCUGCUAAAACUA
Molecule: long non-coding RNA, 1469 nt
Organism: Passer domesticus (house sparrow)
Lineage: Eukaryota; Metazoa; Chordata; Aves; Passeriformes; Passeridae
Exons: 2
Source: RefSeq, a predicted model, not a curated record